Long non-coding RNA from Manacus vitellinus (golden-collared manakin), 519 nucleotides. RefSeq lists it as uncharacterized. The record is from RefSeq and is a predicted model, not a curated record. Lineage: Eukaryota; Metazoa; Chordata; Aves; Passeriformes; Pipridae. The transcript is spliced from 3 exons.
CAUUGCUGAGCACUGUGAUUUUUUUUUUCUACAACCAGGCAGAUUGUUUAAACCACCACAGAGCAGGGGCAGAGCCUGCAAGAAGCUGAGGCAUUUCUAUACAAGACAAUUUGAAGACUUCAGAGAGCGCUGGGGGAUCUCUUUGACUCUUGGCAGUGAACAGACUAAACUGAGAAGUACAGAAGUGUGAAAAAAAUUGGGAACUUUCUUCUCGUCCUUUUAUCCUUCAGAAAUCUGACUAUCUGCAAAAACAGAAGAAAAAUCAAAGCACAACAUAAAAGUUUUAGCAUAAGAACAACUGGAUAAGAGCAAAGGUCUCUCAGGCAGAGUCCUACUUCCAGCAGCAGCCAGUGGCAGAGGCGGGAGGAAGAGGAGAGGAACCAGGCUUGUACAUAAAGAUUCCUGUGCUUGGCUGUACUUCUCCAAUCACUGGCUGCCAGCAUGCUUGGGCUUCCUUCAGUGGAGACUGCUCUAAGCCAGGAUGUUUCACAGCUCCCUCAUGGCCCUCUCAAAGGAUAG